Molecule: long non-coding RNA, 1155 nt
Organism: Haemorhous mexicanus (house finch)
Lineage: Eukaryota; Metazoa; Chordata; Aves; Passeriformes; Fringillidae
Exons: 3
Source: RefSeq, a predicted model, not a curated record
GCUUUAUUUAUAGAAGCAGAUAUACAUUGAGAUUCAUUUUCUUUCCCUUGCUGUAUUCUACCUAAACUCAUCCAAAAUAGAAAGAAACACGCAGACAUGCAAGUAAUAAACAAAUUGGGCCAGAUUCAUGCCUUAGCACAGCACCACAGAGGCCAAUGGAAAAAAAGCAUUUUUGAGCAGCUGAGAAUCUUUCCCAUUAUUUCUCAUGGAAAGGGAAGGGAGGGGUUUAAAACCAGAAAUUAUAAAACAAAAAGCAAAACCGACCAGGCAACAUAAUGUCCUGACUUGUGGCAGAGCAGAUCUGCAAUGCAAAAUCUCUCAGCCAAAAUCUGCAAUUCGAAGGAUUUUUUUUUCCUCCUGUGUUCCCAAUCACCAGAAAGUGCAAGAAUCGGAGUGCAGAGUGCUCCAAGCGAGGAAAAGUAAUGACUUAAAGCAAUUUACCUGCUGAAAGUGAGAAGACAUUGUCAGCGUACGCAGUCUGAGGCAAAGCAAAGCAGAAGAAAAGCAGCAGUUCAAGUGAGGAACAUGCCCUAACAUAGAUGUCUAACAUUGUCUUCAUACCCUGUUUUGGCUGCACAGGUAGAUGCUCUGCUGAAUCUGCACUUCUGGAAACAGUAUGACUGUAUGCAGAAUUUCUGCUGACAUGGCUGAAGGGCUGCUACAGCAGUACCAAGAGACUUCUCUAAUCCUCUCUGAAGCACUGAGAUAAGGAUGUUUUUUCUCACUCUCAAAAAAACCCAACAGAACAACAACCAAACUCAAACCCCAAACACAACCAUCUCCACUGCCCCCCUCCAAGUCUCCUUCACAUGACCACGGUAAAACAGCUGAAGCAUUACAUUUCCAGUUAUUGCAGCUCUCCCUAAGAGCAUUUAUUUCAUAAAAAUUUUCCAACUCUAUCUGAAGCUAACAAAAAUCACUGCAGGGAUCAGUAAGCAUCUGACUGGACUAGGGUCUAUUUCUAGCCUACUCCACAGCACUGUUCAUAAGGCAGAACCUCCCAGUUGUUAAUCUACUCAAUCAACCAUCACCUCCUUUCUGCCACAGCAAAUUACUUAGAAUAAUAACUAUACAAAAAUGAACCCUCAAAACCUAAACAGAAGACAGUUACCUGAUGUUCUGUUGUUUCUUUUGUAUUUUUUCAUACCUUUUCAA